RNAcentral lists this ribosomal RNA (393 nucleotides) under Nasutitermes ephratae. RNAcentral describes it as "partial 16S ribosomal RNA". The record is from RNAcentral. Lineage: Eukaryota; Metazoa; Arthropoda; Insecta; Blattodea; Termitidae.
CAUCUUUUCUUGUUAGUUUUUGAAGUAUGGCCUGCCCACUGACUUGGAGUUGAAGGGCCGCGGUAUUUUGACCGUGCAAAGGUAGCAUAAUCAUUAGUUCUUUAAUUGUGAUCUGGUAUGAAUGGCUUGACGAGACAUAAGCUGUCUUAGAAGUAUUGAUUUAUUGAAUUUGGUUUUUGAGUUAAAAUUCUUAAAUGUUUUUAUGGGACGAGAAGACCCUAUAGAGUUUGACAAUUUUCCUAUUUGUUCGUUGUUUGUUUUAUUUACAUUGAGUGGGAGUGAAUUGUUUUGUUGGGGUGAUGGGAGGAAUAUUGUUUAACUCCUCUUUAUUUUUAUAUAUUUAUGUAUAUAUUUUUGAUCCAUUUAUUUUGAUUAUAAGAUUAAAUUACCUUA